AGAACGAACGCUGGCGGCAGGCUUAACACAUGCAAGUCGAACGCCCCGCAAGGGGAGUGGCAGACGGGUGAGUAACGCGUGGGAAUCUACCUAGUUCUACGGAACAACAGUUGGAAACGACUGCUAAUACCGUAUACGCCCUACGGGGGAAAGAUUUAUCGGAAUUAGAUGAGCCCGCGUAAGAUUAGCUAGUUGGUGGGGUAAUGGCCUACCAAGGCGACGAUCUUUAGCUGGUCUGAGAGGAUGAUCAGCCACACUGGGACUGAGACACGGCCCAGACUCCUACGGGAGGCAGCAGUGGGGAAUAUUGGACAAUGGGCGCAAGCCUGAUCCAGUCAUGCCGCGUGAGUGAUGAAGGCCUUAGGGUGUAAAGCUCUUUCAGUGGGAAGAUAAUGACGGUACCCACAGAAGAAGCCCCGGACUAACGUUCGUGCCAGCAGCCGC
RNAcentral lists this ribosomal RNA (444 nucleotides) under uncultured soil bacterium. Its description in RNAcentral is "bacterial SSU rRNA". It matches the Rfam family "Bacterial small subunit ribosomal RNA", at positions 26 to 518 of the family's 1533-position model. The record is from RNAcentral.